Molecule: RNA transcript, 651 nt
Organism: Raphanus sativus (radish)
Lineage: Eukaryota; Viridiplantae; Streptophyta; Magnoliopsida; Brassicales; Brassicaceae
Exons: 4
Source: RefSeq, a predicted model, not a curated record
UUAUAAGUAUCUGAGAAAUCGUGAAACAAAAAAAUUGAUUCAGCUGACGAUUCUCACUGGAGAGACAAGUCUAGAUCUCUCUUCUCUUCUCUUCUACAUCGAAGUUUGGUUCGUCACCGGCGGAAGGUGAAACCCUCUACUCCGACUUCAUAAUGCCGUUUAAGACGGUGAUGAUGGAAGUGGAGCCACCGAGUCUGAUACGGUACUUGAUCGGAUCGGCGGUGAUGAUGAUCGGCGUGGUGUUACCGGUUGGUUACAUGAUGUUCCGCAACAAGCGCGUCCCCUCCUCGUCUUCUUACUCUAAACAGACGUAGGUGGGGAAUCCAUGGUUGAUACUAAAUAAUUAUAGUUGCUCCUCUUCGUUAAAGGUUUGUUUAGGCUAUAAAGAGGAAGGAACAAAGUUUUGAUAUAGAGAGAGCCAGAGACGGCGGUUGAAUUCAACUGGAUUGACAAGGAUGAUAUUGAUGACGUAUUGAUAUUGUAAAGCUAUGAGGGAUUCUUGUUUUUACAUGGCUUGUAAGAGAUCAUUAGACAAUGCGACUACUUUUUUAGUACUCUUGUUUUCUUUCUUUAUUAGCUGUUCCACUGUUUAUUAUGUAACACAACAUCUUCUCUUCGGUGGAAAGAUUAUAUAAUAUUGAGCUUCGUUCA